Molecule: long non-coding RNA, 413 nt
Organism: Drosophila pseudoobscura
Lineage: Eukaryota; Metazoa; Arthropoda; Insecta; Diptera; Drosophilidae
Exons: 2
Source: RefSeq, a predicted model, not a curated record
CUACUCGUUUCUACGCGAUAGUUAGCCGAUGGUUUUCAAGUGCAACUCUGAAUAAUUGUCAAUCACAACGAAAAAAUGGUAUUCACUGCGAAAACGUAAACAAUGAUUGUGACAAAAUUAACAAAAAACAACAACAAUCAUGCCGAAUGGCUCGGAUACAUUCGAGGCUGUCGAUGAGAUUGAAUGCGGCAUGGGCGAGUCUGCCAGGCUGGAGGUGCAAGUGUGUGGCGAAUAAAUAGCGGACGACUGACAACAUAGAACAAAUAUUUGUAUGCUCUUUGGAUCUGGACGGAUCAUGUAGCGCCAGCACCUUUUCUGGCAACAAGGGCCCCCGCCAAUGCGAACCAAAAAAGACUACAGAAUGAUUUAUUGGAAGUGCUGAAAAAUAAAAAUAAAUAAGUUUAUAAUUUGCA